AGUUUAGAUGGUAAAAAUAUUCCCCUGUCACGGGAAAGACCACGGGUUCGAGUCCCCUA
Molecule: transfer RNA, 59 nt
Filed under: Lelliottia amnigena
Lineage: Bacteria; Pseudomonadati; Pseudomonadota; Gammaproteobacteria; Enterobacterales; Enterobacteriaceae
Description: tRNA-Asp
Rfam family: tRNA
About the family: Transfer RNA (tRNA) molecules are approximately 80 nucleotides in length. Their secondary structure includes four short double-helical elements and three loops (D, anti-codon, and T loops).
Source: RNAcentral